UGGGGGAUAUUGCACAAUGGGCGAAAGCCUGAUGCAGCGACGCCGCGUGGCGGAUGAAGGCUUUCGGGUUGUAAACCUCUUUCGCUAUCGAACAAGGCCCGCUUAGGGUGGGUUGAGGGUAGGUGGAGAAGAAGCGCCGGCUAACUACGUGCCAGCAGCCGCGGUAAUACGUAGGGCGCGAGCGUUGUCCGGAAUUAUUGGGCGUAAAGGGCUUGUAGGCGGCUUGUUGCGCCUGCUGUGAAAACGCGGGGCUUAACUUCGCGCGUGCAGUGGGUACGGGCAGGCUUGAGUGUGGUAGGGGUGACUGGAAUUCCAGGUGUAGCGGUGGAAUGCGCAGAUAUCUGGAGGAACACCGAUGGCGAAGGCAGGUCACUGGGCCAUUACUGACGCUGAGGAGCGAAAGCAUGGGUAGCGAACAGG
Molecule: ribosomal RNA, 420 nt
Filed under: bacterium
Lineage: Bacteria
Description: partial 16S ribosomal RNA
Rfam family: Bacterial small subunit ribosomal RNA
Source: RNAcentral